GCCAGGUGUAGUGGGGCACGCCUGUAAUCCCAGUGGCUCAGGAGGCUGAGGCUGGAGGAUUACAAGUUCAAAGCCAGCCUCAG
RNAcentral lists this small RNA (83 nucleotides) under Marmota monax (woodchuck). The record is from RNAcentral. Lineage: Eukaryota; Metazoa; Chordata; Mammalia; Rodentia; Sciuridae.